AAAAAGACAAACCCUGGGUUUCCAUGCCAACGUUUUACUGUCCGUCUUAUAUGAUUUUUUUUAUAAUUAGUAUUUCCAUUGUUGUUAGAUGAUAAAACAUGAUUAAUACUUUAUGCGUGAUUUAUCUUUUUAAUUUUUUCAUAAUUUUUUCAAAUAAGACGGACGGUCAAACGUUGGACACAGAAACCAGAGUUUGUCUUUUUU
Molecule: non-coding RNA, 204 nt
Organism: Oryza glumipatula
Lineage: Eukaryota; Viridiplantae; Streptophyta; Magnoliopsida; Poales; Poaceae
Source: Rfam